Molecule: ribosomal RNA, 422 nt
Filed under: uncultured Taibaiella sp.
Lineage: Bacteria; Pseudomonadati; Bacteroidota; Chitinophagia; Chitinophagales; Chitinophagaceae
Description: bacterial SSU rRNA
Rfam family: Bacterial small subunit ribosomal RNA
Source: RNAcentral
UGAGGAAUAUUGGGCAAUGGACGAGAGUCUGACCCAGCCAUGCCGCGUGAAGGAUGAAGGCGUUCUGCGUUGUAAACUUCUUUUAUCAGGGAAGAAACCGCUUUUUUCUAAGAGCGUUGACGGUACCUGAGGAAUAAGCACCGGCUAACUCCGUGCCAGCAGCCGCGGUAAUACGGAGGGUGCAAGCGUUAUCCGGAUUUACUGGGUUUAAAGGGUGUGUAGGCGGCUUUGUAAGUCAGGGGUGAAAUCCCGGGGCUCAACCCCGGAACUGCCUUUGAUACUAUAGAGCUUGAAUUAUGUUGAGGUUGGCGGAAUAUAACAUGUAGCGGUGAAAUGCAUAGAUAUGUUAUAGAACACCGAUUGCGAAGGCAGCUGACUAAACAUAUAUUGACGCUGAGGCACGAAAGCGUGGGGAUCAAACA